UCCGCGGUACGACCGCCCGCCGACCUUCUCCACGAAGGCGGCCCUGCACACGAUGCUUCGUGCGCGGCAGCCCCCUGGUGGCUACCUCCCGCAGCCGGGCAUGGCGCCCCCUGCUGGCCACGCGGGCAUGCAGAUGAUGCAGAACCGGCAGAUGAUGGUGGCGCAGCAGCAGCAGAUAGGACAGCAGCAGCAGCAGCAGCAUUACGCGGCGUCGUACCAGGACGCACGCAUGUACGCGCAGCAGCAGCAGCAGCAGCAGGCGACCGCGCAGCAGCCGCUGCACCACAUGCCACCGCAGCAGCAGCAGGGCGGCUACGGCAAUGGAUACGGAAACCCGCACCUGCAGCAGACGAUGGCGCCACCGCAGCAGCAGCAGACGAGUGCUGCCAUGACGAUGAUGCAGCAGCAGCAGCAGCAGCAGCAGCCUGCGGCAGCGUACAGCCAGCCCGCGUACCAGGCAAACCCGAACCUCAUGCACGGCAUGAUGUCCCAGCAGCUGCCUCAGUCCAGCGGAUACGGAAUACCACCCCCGCAGCAGCAGCAGCCGCCGCCGCCGCCGCCGACGCCGCCGCUGCACCAGAUGGCGACGACGUCGCGGCUGAAACAUCCGAACGUGCCGAUGGCGGGCGGGGCAGUGGGCGCCGGCACGGCGAUGCCUUCUCAUGCGAUUGCCGGGGGUCAAGGUCAUGCGAUGAUCCAGCAGCAUCAGUACAUCGCCCAGAUGAGCGCGGCGGGAAGCGGCGGCAGCGCGGGCGCAGGCGUGGGCGCGGGGCCCAACCCGCAGCAGCAGCACGCGCCGCAGCAACGACAGACGGCUCAGCUCAUAGCCAAGCUGAAGGGAGGUCUGCAGAGCAACCACCCACCCCCGAACUACUGAUGACCUCCCUCCCUCCCUCCCUCUCUCCCUCCCUUCUGUCCGUCCUCCCUCCCUCCCUCCCUCUCUCCCUCCCUCACUCCCUCUCUCCCUCUCUCUCCUGUGCUCACCCGCUCUCACAUUACUGAUGCUUGGGCCACCAGCCCCUAACCAACCCGGCACUAUUGAUGAUGUUGUGUGAACCCGCGAUUAUGUGUAAAAUAAAGGUAAAAGGUGCGGCAAUCGUGAGUAAAGUCACGGUAAAAGGUGCGGCGAUCGUGAGUAAAGUCACGGUAAAAUGUGCGGCGAUCGUGAGUAGAGUCACGGUAAAAUGUGCGGCGAUCGUGUGUCACAUUAUCUGAGCUAUAAAUGUGUCGUUGCUGUCAUUAUUAAUGUGCGCUGCGAGUUCGUGACGUGAGCUGGAAUGUGGCAUCACUGUGUGUAAUGAAUGUAAUGCAUGUGUAUAUAUUUUAUCCAUAUCUAUCAGAUAUAUAUAUCAAGUCAAAC
This 1360-nucleotide unclassified non-coding RNA is filed under the name Priapulus caudatus. Its description in RNAcentral is "mediator of RNA polymerase II transcription subunit 15-like, transcript variant X1". Lineage: Eukaryota; Metazoa; Priapulida; Priapulimorpha; Priapulimorphida; Priapulidae. The record is from RNAcentral.